UAGGGAAUCUUCGGCAAUGGGCGAAAGCCUGGUGGAGCAACGCCGCGUGUGUGAUGAAGGGUUCCGGCUCGUAAAACACUGUUGUAAGAGAAGAAUGACAUUGAGAGUAACUGUUCAAUGUGUGACGGUAUCUUACCAGAAAGGAACGGCUAAAUACGUGCCAG
RNAcentral lists this ribosomal RNA (164 nucleotides) under uncultured bacterium. Its description in RNAcentral is "partial 16S rRNA". It matches the Rfam family "Bacterial small subunit ribosomal RNA", at positions 355 to 511 of the family's 1533-position model. The record is from RNAcentral.